AUGUUUGCGAGACACGGUGCACCACUACUAUCUGUCCGACUGUAAACAACAGGAACUAGAAAAGCACUCAGAGAGUGCGAUACUCCGCCAAGUCUGCUCAGUUCAGUAAAACAUAAUAGUUUAGACAUACUAAACUAUAACGUUUUAGUGACAUUUUGGACGGCAUAAUUUUAUUAUUAUUAUAUUAUCCAGUGUAUGUUUUCUCUUUUUUUCUACAUUUUUUUCAAGUUUAAAAAGAUCCCCUUUAUCACAAUGCAAGCUCAAAGGUCUUUUUCAGACACACACACACACACACACACACACACAAACACACACACGCAGACACACACACGCAGACACACACACACACACACACACACACACACACACAUACAUACACACAUACAUACAUUCACACACACGACGUUUUUUCCACAUUUUGGAUGACAUACUAAACUAUGACAUUUUUGUGACAUUUUAGACGACAUACUAAACUAUGACGUUUUAAUGGCAUGUCGGACAACAGACGAAACAAGAACAGCACUCAGAGAGCGCAGUACUCUGCCAAGGCUGCUCAGUUGGUGUAUCAUUUCUGACGUAUGAAAUAUUUAAGAAAAAAUUACUUUGUGCUUAGCACAGGCAUGUGUUAUGCAUGUGCAUGUUAUGUAUGGAUACCGAAUGGUGUGUAAAUUACUCUUAUAAAGAUCUGCUGAUCAGUUCAUCACUUUUUGCAAGCCUUUGUUUUGCUGGUGUGACCGGCUGAUGAGCCACCAUGCCAUACAGCUGUGGGGGAACUAAUGAUUGGUUUGGCCAUUGCAGCAGGGGGUUCAAAUUGAUUGACGGACAUAGCUCCAGUAUGCUCCUGAACACUCUUGGACAGAUACGCGCUGUGCAGCAUGCGGCACACUGGUAAGCUUUAGAUUUUGUAUUAAUAUUGUUUCUUCUUUUAAGACCAGUCUUCUGUGGCUGCAGUGCCGAGUCCGCCGACGGUGUCUCUGCUUAUCGGCGGCGUCAUGCACGUGUAGGGUCGGACAGCCGAGCGGCAGAGGAAGUGCUUAUCUAAGAAGCGUUUUUUGACAUGACGAAGACGCUGCCGAAAAGUCCGAAAAUUCAUGUAAAGAUGAAAGAAAACGGUUCCACGCUGUUGCUGUCUAGCAAAGGAUGUGUCUAAACUUGGAAGCACCUAGCUGGAAUGGAGACAAGCUCUGAUGGGGUUUCCUGAAGAAAGGAGUGAAGGACAGAAAAGUGAAUUUGUGUUCAAAAUAAGGCUGACGGCUGAAUGUAAAUAAAGGCUUUGUGAAAGAUCAUUAGCGUCACCAUUUUCUGGCUGGGGUUUGCCACAUCACGUGACCUAAAUAUGUAGCGGGCAGCAGGAAUUGAUAGGACUCGGAAACACCCCACAGUUUAAUCAAUUAUUCCUUGUAGGAUUUCUAAUUGAUAAAUCACAGUCAAUUUGUAGUGGGAUCGCAAUCAUGUCAUCUUCAGCAGGCAAGUGACACAGUGUUCACUUCAUGAUUACAGCAACGCCAUGCCAGCAGCUAUAUCUCCCAAUGGGAAAUGUUUAACAAAUCCAUGGAUCCAGACUUUAAGCUGCAUUAAUGCCAAAAUCUAAUCACUUGGUCAUUGUGUCAUUUCUGACCUUCCCUGAAAAUUUCAUCCAAAUCUGUGGGUCCGCUUUUGAGUAAUGUUUCACAUAACUCCGCCAUUCCUUGGCAGAGUAACUAUGAAGUUUUGGUAACAUUUUGGACAACAUCCUAAACGAUGCCGCUUUAUCCACAUUUUGGACGACAUGCUAAACUGUGAAGUUUUACCCCAUUUUGGACGACAUGCUAAACUGUGAAGUUUUAAUGACAUUUUGGAUGACAACCUAAACUAUGACAUUUUUGUGACAUUCUGCACGACAUACUAUGACGUUUUAAUGACAUUUUGGACGAAAUACUAAACUGACGUUUUAGUGAUAUUUUGGAUGACAUACUAAACUAUGAAGCACUGUUCCCUCUAAGCUGCACGUGUGCGCGAUUGCGCACUGCUGACACGGUCUCCGCGCACAGAAAAUCUGCGCUGUGCACAAAAAAAAAUCCAACCUAAAUUGAAAAUAAACACACAACAAUUCAUUCUGUGCUAUUUUUCCAAUGUGAGUCAAUGAGUGACCGGUGACGGGCUGCUGCAGCCAAUGAUGCGAUUCAAAUAAGUAGUUACCAUAGACUGUAUAUAAUGGUAUUUACGCAGCUAAUCAACGUCAAGCGUCCUUAUGUGCAGCCACCAUUGUUCUCAUAGAUAUGAAUGAGUAGAUAGGACACGCCCCUUUGAGCUGCGGCUACAGCGAGGCUAAGCUAGUGGGGGAAAAGUUUCAGUGCAUUCCGAUGAAAACGGAAACAAGUAUGCCGGCCCACUGUGCUGCAUACAAUUGCACACUGCGUCGUACGAUUGAGACAAGGAAACUUGGAAUGACUUUUCAUAGGUUUCCCAGAGACUAUGGGUUGAGGAGGAAUUGGAAGUUUGUCGGCUUAGACCUGGUGUCAUUCCAUCAGUGUUAAACUUCCCGGCUCAUCUUGGAAGAGUAUGUGCCAGAAAGACCACGACCAAGCAGCCUUGAGAUCUUAGGCAGCGUCUCCCUGAGGUCCCUCUCUAUCUCCCCACACAUCCACCAACCACUGGAACACAUCUCCAAAGUUCUGCUGGGCCAGCUCAGCUUCCCCUCAGAAGAAGUGCUGCCACCUGCCAGAUGAAGGAGCCUUUUGAGAGGCAGCUGGCAUCGUGAUUGGACUGUACUUUGGUCUGUUCCAAUCCAGCUUCAGCUCCAGAGACGGCAGGCGGGACGAGUCAACGGAGGCCGGGUGGACGAAGGCAUGCAGCUGAGUACAAUCCAGAAAACAACAGAGGAGGAGUGCAGUGGCCCAGGGCCAGAACAGGGUAGCAUCGUAUGUCUCUUAGAAAACAUCAUAGUAUAGCCUUUGGUAUGAAAAAAUGCCAUCAUAUACAUCGUAUAUUGUACAAAUAACAAGUCAAAGCAAAGAGACAUACAUUGUAGAAUUGUAGUAAUUGUGGGCCGACUGAUUUACUGAUUAUCAGUAUUUUAUUUUUUACUGAUUUAUGGUAAUAAAUACAUUUAAAAAUGGC
Molecule: long non-coding RNA, 3099 nt
Organism: Amphiprion ocellaris (clown anemonefish)
Lineage: Eukaryota; Metazoa; Chordata; Actinopteri; Pomacentridae
Exons: 4
Source: RefSeq, a predicted model, not a curated record